UAACAACUCUCAGCAACGGAUAUCUCGGCUCUUGCAUCGAUGAAGAACGCAGCGAAAUGCGAUAAAUGGUGUGAAUUGCAGAAUCCCGUGAACCAUCGAGUCUUUGAACGCAAGUUGCGCCCGAGGCCAUCAGGCUAAGGGCACGCCUGCCUGGGCAUUGCGA
This 163-nucleotide ribosomal RNA is filed under the name Paphiopedilum adductum. Its description in RNAcentral is "5.8S ribosomal RNA". It matches the Rfam family "5.8S ribosomal RNA". Rfam says of the family: 5.8S ribosomal RNA (5.8S rRNA) is a component of the large subunit of the eukaryotic ribosome. It is transcribed by RNA polymerase I as part of the 45S precursor that also contains 18S and 28S rRNA. The record is from RNAcentral. Lineage: Eukaryota; Viridiplantae; Streptophyta; Magnoliopsida; Asparagales; Orchidaceae.